Molecule: ribosomal RNA, 91 nt
Filed under: Candidatus Limiplasma pullistercoris
Lineage: Bacteria; Bacillati; Bacillota; Clostridia; Eubacteriales
Source: RNAcentral
ACCUGUUCCCAUUCCGAACACAGAAGUUAAGCCCCAGCACGCCGAUGGUACUUGGCUGGAGACGGCCCGGGAGAGUAGGUCGCUGCCGCAU